GGCGAACGGGUGAGUACAACAUCGGAACGUGCCCAGUAGUGGGGGACAACCAGUCGAAAGAUUGGCUAAUACCGCAUACGCUACGGGAAAGCGGCGCUAUCGGAGCGGCCGAUUUCCGAUUAGCUAGUUGGUGGGGUAAAAGCCCACCAAGGCGACGAUCGGUAGCUGGUCUGAGAGGACGGCCAGCCACACUGGGACUGAGACACGGCCCAGACUCCUACGGGAGGCAGCAGUGGGGAAUUUUGGACAAUGGGCGAAAGCCUGAUCCAGCCAUGCCGCGUGCGGGAAGAAGGCCUUCGGGUUGUAAACCGCUUUUGGCAGGAACGAAUGACGGUACCUGCAGAAUAAGCACCGGCUAACUACGUGCCAGCAGCCGCGGUAAUACGUAGGGUGCAAGCGUUAAUCGGAAUUACUGGGCGUAAAGCGUACGCAGGCGGCUUGGUAAGACAGAUGUGAAAUCCCCGGGCUUAACCUGGGAACUGCAUUUGUGAC
Molecule: ribosomal RNA, 492 nt
Filed under: uncultured soil bacterium
Lineage: Bacteria
Description: bacterial SSU rRNA
Rfam family: Bacterial small subunit ribosomal RNA
Source: RNAcentral